GCCGGGCGCGGUGGCUCACGCCUGUAAUCCCAGCACUUUGGGAGGCUGAGGCGGGUGGAUCACCUGAGGUCAGGAGUUCGAGACCAGCCUGGCCAACAUGGUGAGACCCUGUCUCUA
This 117-nucleotide signal recognition particle RNA is filed under the name Pan paniscus (pygmy chimpanzee). RNAcentral describes it as "Metazoan signal recognition particle RNA". It matches the Rfam family "Metazoan signal recognition particle RNA". Rfam says of the family: The signal recognition particle (SRP) is a universally conserved ribonucleoprotein. It is involved in the co-translational targeting of proteins to membranes. The record is from Rfam by way of RNAcentral. RNAcentral also lists the same sequence under 1 other name. Lineage: Eukaryota; Metazoa; Chordata; Mammalia; Primates; Hominidae.